Molecule: ribosomal RNA, 279 nt
Filed under: uncultured bacterium
Lineage: Bacteria
Description: partial 16S ribosomal RNA
Rfam family: Bacterial small subunit ribosomal RNA
Source: RNAcentral
GACGAACGCUGGCGGCGUGCUUAACACAUGCAAGUCGAGCGGUAAGGCCCUUUCGGGGGUACACGAGCGGCGAACGGGUGAGUAACACGUGGGUGACCUGCCCUCAGCUCUGGGAUAAGCCUGGGAAACCGGGUCUAAUACUGGAUAUGACUCCAUGACGCAUGUUGUGGGGUGGAAAGCCUUGUGCGGCUGAGGAUGGGCCCGCGGCCUAUCAGCUUGUUGGUGGGGUGANGGCCUACCAAGGCGACGACGGGUAGCCGGCCUGAGAGGGCGACCGGC